RNAcentral lists this ribosomal RNA (250 nucleotides) under uncultured soil bacterium. Its description in RNAcentral is "partial 16S ribosomal RNA". It matches the Rfam family "Bacterial small subunit ribosomal RNA", at positions 26 to 288 of the family's 1533-position model. The record is from RNAcentral.
AGGACGAACGCUGGCGGCGUGCUUAACACAUGCAAGUCACGGGGGCCCGCAAGGGCAACCGGCGAACGGGUGCGUAACACGUGAGCAACCUGCCUUUGUGUGGGGGAUAGCCGGGCUAACGCCCGGGUAAUACCGCAUACGGUUCUCGAGGGGAGUCCCUUGGGAAAGAAACCUCCGGGGCACAGAGAGGGGCUCGCGGCCUAUCAGCUAGUUGGCGGGUAAUGGCCCACCAAGGCGACGACGGGUAGCU